AUUGAACGCUGGCGGCAGGCCUAACACAUGCAAGUCGAACGGUAACAGAAAGCAGCUUGCUGCUUUGCUGACGAGUGGCGGACGGGUGAGUAAUGUCUGGGAAACUGCCUGAUGGAGGGGGAUAACUACUGGAAACGGUAGCUAAUACCGCAUAACGUCGCAAGACCAAAGAGGGGGACCUUCGGGCCUCUUGCCAUCGGAUGUGCCCAGAUGGGAUUAGCUAGUAGGUGGGGUAAAGGCUCACCUAGGCGACGAUCCCUAGCUGGUCUGAGAGGAUGACCAGCCACACUGGAACUGAGACACGGUCCAGACUCCUACGGGAGGCAGCAGUGAGGAAUAUUGCACAAUGGGCGCAAGCCUGAUGCAGCCAUGCCGCGUGUAUGAAGAAGGCCUUCGGGUUGUAAAGUACUUUCAGCGGGGAGGAAGGGAGUAAAGUUAAUACCUUUGCUCAUUGACGUUACCCGCAGAAGAAGCACCGGCUAACUCCGUG
This 490-nucleotide ribosomal RNA is filed under the name uncultured bacterium. RNAcentral describes it as "partial 16S ribosomal RNA". It matches the Rfam family "Bacterial small subunit ribosomal RNA", at positions 30 to 507 of the family's 1533-position model. The record is from RNAcentral.